UGGUGGAGCGAUUUGUCUGGUCAAUUCCGAUAACGAACGAGACUCUAGCCUACUAAAUAGUUUCGGGGGACCCCCCACAAAGGGGCCCCGCUUCAACUUCUUAGAGGGACAGGUGGCGUUUAGCCACACGAGAUUGAGCAAUAACA
Molecule: ribosomal RNA, 146 nt
Filed under: uncultured eukaryote
Lineage: Eukaryota
Description: partial 18S ribosomal RNA
Rfam family: Eukaryotic small subunit ribosomal RNA
Source: RNAcentral